UGCCAGAGGGCAUUAUCCCUCCGGCACUCGGGUCCCUCGAACCCCCCACCCUUGUCCACUUCUACCUUUGUUGCCUCGGCGGGUCCGCCCGCCAGAGGACCACAACCAAAACUCUUGUUAAGAAACAACGUCCUGUCUGAGCUAUAGCAAAAGCAAUAGUUUAAAACUUUCAACAACGGAUCUCUUGGUUCUGGCAUCGAUGAAGAACGCAGCGAAAUGCGAUAAGUAGUGUGAAUUGCAGAAUUCAGUGAAUCAUCGAAUCUUUGAACGCACAUUGCGCCCCUUGGUAUCCCGAGGGGCAUGCCUGUUCGAGCGUCAUUAUCACCACUCAAGCCUGGCUUGGUGUUGGGUGCCGCCCCGCCCUCUGCGGCGCGGGCGCUCCCUAAAACUAUCGGCGGUGCAGCACCGGCUUCGAGCGUAGCAGACCUUCGCUUUCUGGGGCCCGGUGCGGCAGCGGCCGCGACGACACAACCUCUAGGUUGACCUCGGAUCAGGUAGGGAUACCCGCUGAACUUAAGCAUAUCAAUAAGCGGAGGAAAAGAAACCAACAGGGAUUGCCUUAGUAACGGCGAGUGAAGCGGCAACAGCUCAAAUUUGAAAUCUGGCUCCCCUGGGGGCCCGAGUUGUAAUUUGUAGAGGAUGCUUCGGCGUGGGCCCCGGUCUAAGUUCCUUGGAACAGGACGUCACAGAGGGUGAGAAUCCCGUACGUGGCCGUGGGCACUCGCCAUGUGAAGCUCCUUCGACGAGUCGAGUUGUUUGGGAAUGCAGCUCUAAAUGGGAGGUAAAUUUCUUCUAAAGCUAAAUAUUGGCCAGAGACCGAUAGCGCACAAGUAGAGUGAUCGAAAGAUGAAAAGCACUUUGGAAAGAGAGUCAAAAAGUACGUGAAAUUGUUGAAAGGGAAGCGCUUGCAACCAGACCUGCCUGCGGUUGCUCAUCCGGGCUCCUGCCCGGUGCACUCUUCCGCAGUCAGGCCAGCAUCAGUUCUGGCGGUCGGAUAAAGGCGGCGGGAAUGUGGCUCCUCUCGGGGAGUGUUAUAGCCCGCCGUGCAAUGCGGCCAGCCGGGACUGAGGUCCGCGC
This 1077-nucleotide ribosomal RNA is filed under the name Rhytidhysteron rufulum. RNAcentral describes it as "eukaryotic LSU rRNA". The stretch from base 481 to 1077 matches the Rfam family "Eukaryotic large subunit ribosomal RNA", at positions 1 to 600 of the family's 3401-position model. The record is from RNAcentral. Lineage: Eukaryota; Fungi; Ascomycota; Dothideomycetes; Hysteriales; Hysteriaceae.